UAAUUGAAGGUCGUUCUAUGACCUAGACAUAUCGGAAUGUCGUAGUAUUUUGACUACGUGGUAGAAUUAAAGUGUUUGAAUUUCCAAGACGAAAAUAAAAAUUUUCCGAGAAAUUUUCUGAAAAAAACUAUUCAUGCAUUUCUACUCGGGCAUUAUUUUUGAAUUUCCGAGAAAUAAGUAAUGAUAGAAUAUCAAGGUGAGAUAGAAUAUCCAAUAAUAUUUCAGUUAUGGCAAACACAGUUUUUUGCCUGCGGACUUAAAACCUAACGAUUAGGGAAAGUGAGUUCCGAGAAGAAAAUGUAAUGCGUAUAAUGAAUUAAAGCGUUGAUCGUAUAAUACAUAAGUAUUGUAUGAGGUAAUGAAUACGAGUAUAAUACGAGGUGUUAUACGAGUAUGAAUGAAUGAUGGUAUGUCGUAUAUGAAUAAGUAUACGAAGUAAAAUAUGAGAUUAAUACGUAAAUUAUACGUUAUAAGGCUUUAAGCCAAAUGUAAUGGACUUGUAGGAUUAAAUAGGAAAUUGGUAGAGUUCAAUGAGAAUUUAGAUGCAAGCCCAAACUAUUGUAAUGCAAGCCCAACAAGGAAUAAGCUAGAUUAAUUAAGUAAGUCCAAUAUAAUGAUCCAUUGGAUAAGUAGGAUCCAUAGUGCAACCCAUGGAUAGACUUGAUGGGCAAGAACUUUAUGUGAUGCCCAAAUACUUUAUGUGAUGAUCAAGUGUUGUGGUGAACAAGAAAUUAAUGUGGCUAGCAAGUUUACUUAGAGGCAAAGUAAGGAAUAGUAAGGAG
RNAcentral lists this long non-coding RNA (782 nucleotides) under Panax ginseng (ginseng). RNAcentral describes it as "long non-coding RNA (PGIN_LNC002540)". Lineage: Eukaryota; Viridiplantae; Streptophyta; Magnoliopsida; Apiales; Araliaceae. The record is from RNAcentral.